Coturnix japonica (Japanese quail) is the source of this 22818-nucleotide non-coding RNA. Lineage: Eukaryota; Metazoa; Chordata; Aves; Galliformes; Phasianidae. The record is from RefSeq and is a predicted model, not a curated record.
GUCAAUUUACAGCAGUGGUUGCUCCAAAAUACGUUACAGUGUCUGUCUUUACAUAGGAAUGGAAAAGCACAAAAGCAAAUUGCACCACAAAUACUAUCAUCACGUACAGUUAAAGAUUACAGCUUUCAUGCCUUUACCUAGGUUGACUGUUCCCUUUGCUUCUAUUUGCAUUUUCAUUGUCUUUAGCAUGAUUUUAAAUUGUGGUAUCUGCCUUCAGGAUGCUGAAUGACAUUUCAAGUAUAUUUUUAUUGUGUAUAAAUUGUACGUUUUCACUUAUGGAGUGCCUAACAACAGUAGCUCUUAUGAACAUGCAAGUUUUUUUUCCACGUGCUUUGGCUAAAUUAAACUUCAAAGAAAGAAACCCUAAAUACAGGCAAGUUAUGCUGGCAGAACAAAAUAUUGUAUUUAAUUAUCACUUCUGCUUGCAACUUUGUCUACAUAAGUCAUUUAAAUUUGUUGCCUAAAUAUGGGUAACCAUAAAUUUUAAAGUGGACUGCACUGCAUAUUAAUUUAGAAUAAGAUAAAUUCUGUACUAUUACAGUGAAGAAAUUGAGAAUACAGCUUUUCCAUUGGAAUUUUCAUAUACUUUGUGUCUGGUACUGGUGUUGUUUGCUGUUAUAAAAGACAGAUUAUUAUAGCUUUGGAUCUGCUGUGGCAUUUGAAAUCAACUAUACUGACACCUUAUCUGAUCUUUAAGGCAAUCCCUACAUGGACAAAAGCUCAGUGUUAUAUUUUAGUAGCUCUUCACAAACAGAGAUCAGCUCUUUCUUCCCAUUUAGAAGAUACUGUGUCUAUACCUCUAAUUAGUGCCUAUCUGUUAGAGCAGUGAAAGGGCCACCAGACGCCACAGGCAAUCAAGCGUAAGAUGUAACUUCAUCAUGGAGAAUAGUUCUCAAUUCCCUUCAACCUAGAGAAAUGAAUAACAUAAAAAUGGUGCAAAGCCAUGUUCCAACACAGUAAACAGUGUACAAGUUACAACCAGGUAUAGCCCAGUAACAGUGUUUGAAAGAAGAGGUAUUUCCUAUUAACUGAAAAACAAAGCUACUACUUGUUAAUUUAUUUCUUUUGCCCACAGUUAAUUUUAGCUUGCAUGCAAAUGUAGAAUAAGAGUAAGUAUUAGUCUGCCUUACAUGUUCUGUCUGUUACAUUCAACGUAUGCUGGAGGAGUAAAAAUGAAGUUAGGAUUUGAUUGAUGUUAUGGAUGUCUGCUGCUAAGCUACUUAUAACUGAUCCUUUUUUCUAUAAGUAGAUGGAAAUUUGUUGAGAAUUGGGGACCCGUUGCUCCAGAAGCGUAUAUAGAUGAGCAGCCAGCACUGAGAUGGAAAAGUAGAAGUCUCUGCUCACGUUGUGUAACUUUAUUUUGUGUCCCAACCAUUUUGCCACAAUCAAUUCACAAACAAAUUACCCUUUAGCGCCCCCAAGUGGAUCAUUAGAGCCUCAUUAAAGACACAGUUUAAUUUCAGAUUUAAUUCUUGAAAAGAAAAGUACCUGAACUGAAAUUAACAAGAAUGCAUUUCUGUAAAAUUAGUAUAAACCAAACCAGUACAUGUCCCUCUAAUUUCAGGGGUUAAAAGCAUGUUCUCAAUUGAUGCCUGUGUUUCUUGGGGAAAUGCUCCAUUUUGCCAUGAUUUGCAAUAAGCAGCUAUUAAACAGUUAUUUAAAUAUGUUAAUGUUUACAUAUAUAAAUUUCUCCCUGCUGCUGGAUAAUGUUGUUCAAGAGCAUAGUGACUAAAGCAGUCACGACAAUUCUCAGAAUUUUCAUUAGAGUCUAGCCAAUAUUUAUUUCCUUUCAUUUUUCUGACUUUUCUAAUCAAUCAGUAGCAUCUAAACAUAAUGAAAUAGUUGCUAAUUAUAAAAAGCUGUGACUCUGGAAAGUACUUAUUGUUAUUUUGCUGUAUGGGUUGAGGGGAAAUUUUCAGAAAUGGACAAGAAAUUGGACUGAGGCAUUGUGCGGUUUGGCUUAUCUCUCACCUGCAGUCCUGCUGCCUGAAAUCGAUUUCAAAGGUUCCACCUCCUGUUCAGGCCAAGGCAAUCAAGACUUUGUUACAGAAAGUUUUCAUAAAGGAAUCCAUAAGCAUCAAAGCCUCUAACUCUGGAAUGUAACAAGGGCUACAGAUAUAACUUUUUCCUUUUAGCCAUUGGUUAAACAGCUGCAGCCUCUGAAUUUGACAUAGAAGCCAUUCUUAUUUCUAUGCAAGGAACUCAUUAGUUCAUAUUUGGUGCUUCUUUCCAUUAUGCUUUUGGGAAAUCAUUUGUGGCUUCUGGAGGGGGUAGAUGCAGAUUUGAGGGCAAAGAUAACUUAUUUAUUAAGUAAAAUAGCAUAGUUGAAAGGGCAUGGGAGAGAAGGGGACAUCUGAUUUUUCAGAAACCUUUCAUUACCUUCUAAAAAUUAAAAUUAUUUCCUAUUUUCUGUCUAUACUUUUUGCCAUCAUCAAUUUUUAUGGCGGUGGAUCAGGAUCAUGAGGUUGUAAAAUUUUUUUCUUACGUUAUUAAUAAGACUAUCUUUUGUCAUACUGGCACCUAAUAUGCUUUUGUGAGUUCUAUUUAUAGCAUGCCUCUAAACUUUCACGUGUGAUGCUGACCAAGGUGCUUUUCUUCUAUUUCAAUGUAUAAAUCUAUUAAUUUAUUAAAGCAAACGGUCCUUUAUUUAUUUAUUUAUUUAUUUUGGAAGACAUAAAGCAGACAGUAUGUUCUGAAAUUCUCUGUGCAGCUGAUUGAAUCUAGCUGCCUUACUGGCAGAGAGAAACAAAUUUGAGAUGCAGGUUUCUGCUGCAAUUUAACGUCUGCUCUAAUUUGUGUACUAGUCUCCUUUGGACUUUUAUGUAUACAUAUAUAUAUACAUGUAUUCCUUCAAGCACAAUCAAGCAGCUAUUACUUAAAGCAAUUGAAUCAAACUUUAAAAAGCUAUAAACUUGUGUUUAUUUUUAGCUCCUGCCAGCCUCCCCGGUCUGUCUUCAAACACACAGUCUUUGAAAUUUAGAUUCUAUUUCACUUAUUUAUUUGUCAUUUAGAUCAAGAUUGUCCCAAAUUAUUUGCCUUCAUUAAUUUCUCAGGAAUGUGCUUCUUGGGAAGGAUAGUUCAAAUUGUCUUGUCCUCAGAGUGUAAGUAUUCAGGGUACGCCUUCUUCCUGAGCUGGUUUUUCCAACGCUUCUGUUUGUCUCCAAGAUUCCUUGGCUCACUAGAAAGGUCAAAUUCUGUCCUCAGAUUCAGAUACCAUUUAUUCAGUGUUGGAGCUAUGUGGAACUUCUCUGGAAAAUAUCUAAUCUGUUGGGGAAAAGUCCACUGUGUUUUGAAAUCCCCUAACCCACCUAAAGUAUAUACCUCUGCUUUAAAGUAUAAAUGCUCUUCCAUAUGACUAAUCACAUUAUUCUUGUCUCUUAUCCUGGAUUACUUAUGUAACCCUCCCCCUUUGGAAGUCACUCUGUUCAGGGAACUUUUAGCAAAGAGAUUCUUCAUGCAAGAUAUAAACAAGUUAAAAGCACAAAAUAAGUUAUUUACUGUCCAAAACAAACAGUGCAUUGCAAGACUAAUAAACUAAACAUUAAGUCACCCCCCAGAAAAUGAGUCAUUCUGUCUAAUGGUGAAGUAGUCAUCACUCAGGUAGGAAAUCUCUGGCUUCUGCUGCUCCUUGGAGCAGGCUUACCUGUGACAUUGCUGAAUUGCUUUCUUCUGAUUCCCUUUUUCCUUAGGAUUUUAUGCCUUUUGAGUUUUGUUUAUUCUCAAAUCCUUGAGGUGUCAGUUUCCCCAUCUUGACAAUCCUACUUAUGUCUUCAAUUUUACCUUUCUUAUCUGGCAUGCUUUUAGCUUGUGUACUUUCUUACAGCUCCUUCUCACACCCAAGCAAUUUUCUUGGAACAAAAAAACAACCUGAGAGUGGUUACACAGCUGUGCUAUUCUGAAAGUAGGCCUUGAAUCACAGAUAGAUGAAUUCCUGGGAGGAAGGUUACAUGUAAGUGACCUGGUUUACAUUUUUUUCUCAAGUAGUUCAUCCUGCAGAGUGAGCCUCUUCUAUUUUUGUACGGUGAUCUUUCAAAUGGGUGAUUCAGUCUUUUUUUUAGAAUUAAUGUUUAACAAAUUGUUUAAUAUAUUCAGUUACAUUCCUGAUUUUGAGCUUUUGGGGAAAUAUUCUCUCAAAACUUGCAUUCCCGGUUUCUAAGUGGACAUAAUGAUUGCUGUUAAGGAUUAGAACAGCGAUACUGAAGAGAGAAAAUAGCCACCAAUGCACUAUCUUCUAUUAGUUUAUAACUGAAUACUUCGAACUAUUUGUAAUAUUGCCAACAAGUUUCCCAAUUUAAAUAUGUACUGUGUGAAGAAGUGAUCCUUUAUUUUAAGUUGCAACUGCAGCCCACUAUGUUUUAUAGUAUAGUAACAAAAGUUCAUUAAAGUGACCGUGCUGAAAUUGAUCAGAGACUCUAUACACUACACUAUGUUGUCUAUAAAAUGACCUUAAACAGGUGACUAGAGAAGGCUGUGCUCAAAGGAAAAUCAUUACGAGCUAUCUGCACAUUGUUCUUCCAGUCAUUAAUCACUUCCAGCUGAAGGACUUCUGAAGCAGUUUGUUAAUUUUACCAAUAGUCUUCUUUCCAAUGGAAUUUUAAAAUAUAUUGGACAGCAGAGGUCUGUUUACAGAUCUCCUCAGAAUUUCACUAGGAACCAACUUCCACUGUGAAAACUGUUGGUUUUUUUUUUCCCCUACAGUUUCUUAUUUUAACUAUAUAGCUGCAAAAGACCCCUCUUAUGGCAUCAUGCCAUGACUGCUAUAUUUUUCAUACAAGAUUUGUCAAAUGACUUUAGAAACCCAGACAAGCAGUUCAUCAACUUUAUCUAUGUACUUUUGACUGUUUCAAAGAGCUCCAGUAAGAUUCUGAGAUGUGAGGUACUUUUACAAUAAUCACUUUUGACUCUUUCUGGUUGCAUUUAUCUAUGUGUCCACUGCUAGUAUGUGCUAUUAAAUUCCUGGGACAAGCUUAGAGGUCUUUAUUUCCAAAUUUACACAUUGUUACUAGCAAUUCAGAAAGUUUGUUCUUCAAUUCCUUUUCUAUUGUGUCAUUUCUCCCUUCAGUAAUCUCUCUUGCAAACUGAAGAGGUUUGCAAAAUGGCAAAACUUCAUUUAGCCACUUCUUACUUCCAAAAAUCCUUUUGCUGUAUCUUUCUAGUCCUUCUCUGCAUAGCUUUAAAUGCACAGAGUGCCAGCUAUACAUGUCUAGUUUCAAAGUCAGAGUUACCUUAUUCAUAUUAAACUUGCACCUACAGAUGAAAGUAAUAGCAACCUUUGUACUGAGCUUAACCCUCAAAGCUCUUCUUAGACAUUAGCCAACUAAAACACCUACAAUGUAAAUACAAGUUAUAGUCUCUGCUUAAAGGACUUGAAAAUGAAUCACAUACUGCAUUCAGAUUUCUUGAUUAGGUUAAUGUUUUGCUUAGCAGCCUUUGUAUCUAUUCCAGCAGAGCAGCUAGCAACUCCAUAGCUUGUCUUGGUAAUACAAUGCCAAAUGGAUGGUUUUUUGUACAGUUCUCACUUGACAACUUAAUUUCUCCUGCUACUUGGCAUGAAAGACACCCUUUUUUUAGGAGGGCUGUCCUUCAGAUUCUGUUUGACAAAUUAUUCUGCAACUCUUCUCUUGUUAUUAGUUAAUUUCCCAAGUGUACCACUCUGCAGAGGCAGGUUUUGAAGAACAGUGAAACAUUACAUCUCAAUAACAUUUUCAUAUGUUGUGAUUGUAGAUCUACAAUUUCUAUUCCUUUUCCUCUCUGGAGCCCCAUGUUACAUUUUAGAUCACUGAAAGGAAUUGAGAGAACAUGGAGCCACAGUCCCAGAGACACUGCUGACUAAUAAACAUGCCCAUAGCUCUUCCUGUAGUUGCUGUAGACUGGAAGUCAGCACUAGCAAUAUAUUCUGUGGAAUCUCAACUUACUAGGAAUCGUAUUAAAAAUAAGUUCUAUAGGUGUUCAGAAAAUUCUCUGUAUUACAUGUUUUUUAUUCAUGCCUUUCCAAAUAUUUAUGAGCACUUUGUUAAUAUAAUUAAGAAAGUAUUUGAAGUUGAUUUAUGUGAACAAAUAUUUUAAAAACAGCUCCGCAGAUGCAUGUGUGCACACAGACAUGCAUACAUUUAUUUAUAUUUAAAUUUAUAUAAUUGAAAGUAAAUAAUUAUCUAGCAAGCUAAAUCAAGGACUCCCAUACCUCAAGUGUAAAUGCCGCUUCUGCAGAGACAACCUGGUGCAAAAUCAGAAGUCUUGUAUUACAGAGAUUUGAGAUAGCAUAAGAUAUUUCAGAUUCUCUAUGCCAUCCUGAAGAGUCAAACAGGCUUGUUUUUACUGAGGGACAGAUAUUUCCAGCCUAUGUAAAUUUUAUGGGAAUCUUUAAAGUUCUUUGCCAGGCAGACUGAACUUUGAGUCUUCUUGCUCAUUACUCAAGUAAUAAUCUAUGCAUUAAGACGCCUAUCUACUACAUUUGUGGUGUUUUGUAUGUCAAAGAACUACAGUUUUGAAGUGGCUAAUGCACAGCCUUUGUUGUUAUGAGGAAAUAUGAGGUUCUCCUCUGGCUCAUGUUUUUGCAAAACUAUGCAUUAAUAAUACAAACAAAUCUUAAGCAGGUUUUUUACAACAGGAUAGUUGCUCAUGUACUUCAAAUCACAUAAUCCGAAGAUGGAUCUGACACUGAACAGCUUUCAUCAUGAUGCAUUUCUUGAUGAGCUAAGACAUGUAUGUGGAUUUACUCAUUGCUUCUACAUUAGUAGAACAGUGCCUCAAAUGACAUUACAUUAAUUCUUGUGAGCUGCUACACUAGUAAGUAACUCAGUAAAUUACUCUAUUUCCUUUUGAAAUGGGAUCAGUAAGUAAACUGCAUGUACAAUAAAAGCUAUGACGUAUAAUACAAAUAGCAUUUUUUCUCCAUAUAUGAUUGCUAUGUAGAUUUUGUUCAUCCACAGCACUCACAGGUGUCUCAAAAGGCUUUUAAUACAUUUUUGUUCCUUUUUCAAGAAGGAAAUACUUAGCAUUUGCAAUCAUGUCGUAAAUUUCUUCCCUUGGAUCUUGCAUUUGGAAACAUUCUACAGUCAGAUUCUUCCUGCAUUAGCAGCACCAUCAGUCAUUCAGUUUGUAAAUGACGGUGAAUUUUAUAUUUGGAAACAGUUUUCAUGUCGUUGUGUUUCAGUGGUGAUUUCUAUAAAUGUUAAUGGAAGCCGUUAUAUUGUGAAGAUGUCCAUAAGCCAGUACUGCAGCUUCAUAAUAAGUUUAACACUUAUGUACAAGCUCUGCAUGUAACAUUUUGCAUAAAUAGUGAUCUCAGCCUCUUAAGCUAUUUGAUGUGCAAACUUCCAUCUGUUCCUCAUGGUAAUGCAAAAUACCUUUUAAAUAUGUCAUCAUCUUUUGCCUACACUGUUAUUUGCAAAAGAUCAAGAGACAGUAUAAAGCAUGGCAAUUUCUUCAAGACAUCCACUGUUUACCUCUUUCUACUUCCAGCUUGAAUUGUAACAGUGCUCAUAGUUGGAGGAGGUGGGAGGAAAAAACACUUAUUUUAGUUAAAUACAGUGCUUUGGUUCAAAUACAGGGAAGCAAAGGAGGAGAAAGCAUUUGUGCUCUGGGCAUUUUCACAGCAUUUACUUUUUUGGUAGUAUAAUAAUCCUCUUUUAACCCAUCUAGUAUCAUUUAUACUACAGAUUAUUUAAGUAGAAAAGACUACAUAAGUACUUUGCCAUAAUUUCCCUAAUUCUAUAUUUGUGUUUCCUUGUAUUUUGACAGUAAUACGAAAUAUUUUCUGAUAGCAAACAUUGUAAAAUAAUCAUAUUUAAUCUUUAAGUAAAGUCACUGAAAAGUUGGGAUUUAUUUUUCAUAGGUUUCCCAUUUUGUCCACUUAGUUCUAAUUUAAAGGGUUUCAGUUAUAUCAAAAUAUGUUUUUUAACAAUGAGUUUUACCUCUUUUCUGAGGUAAAUCUUUGCUCUUAGCAUAGAAUUCUUAAAACCAAGGCUUUUUUCUUUUCUUCUGCCCCACGCACUCUUCAAAACAAAUUAUAAUCAGGUAGUGAUUGGCAGAAAUUUUUAGCACUAAUAAUCAAAGCUGAGCAAUUUUAGCACCUAUUGUGUUCCACCUGCAGGAUCAUUUUCUUGUCCUGUAACAUGCUAGGUAGCACAAAUGAUUGAUUUAUAAUGCAAGAUAAUUUUUUUAUUAAAGUAACCUACUCUGCCUAGUGCCAGGGAGUUUAUUGUCUCUAAAGUAUCCUUAUAAAAUCUCCCUCCAUUCAGGCAGCAAAUAAAUUGCCUUAUUUUCUGAUUUUCUCUCAGAAUCUUAGUGUUCUGUAAGAUGGUUCACAUUUAAGAUUCAGCAUGUAAUCUCCAGAAAGGAGAUUAUAGCCGAAUAAUCCCAAGCCAAGAAUUCUUGUUCCCUCUAAAUAAGCUAGACAAUAACCUCUCAUCACAGCCCACAAGCUCUCUACAAAAAGCAAACAAAAUAACAAAAAUAAGGAAACAUAAAAUCAAUAGUCACUAAAUAUUCUAAAUAUUCUCUUGUCCUAGGCAACAAUUUGUUUUGUGUUCAGUAUUUCAGGAAAGCUUGGGAUACAGAGUUAUGUUUUAUCAACUCAACCUUGUCAGAGUUGGGAAACAUGCAAGAAAAAUGAAUUACUAUUUAAAUAUAAUGUUCUUUUUUGGAUUCUGCAAUCUGAUGUUAGUUUAGAUAUUUUAGACAGAUUCUAUUUUGAAUUUUUCCCUCCAAACAUGCAGUCUUUGCAUGCACUGCAAUGCAUUCAUUAUGGUAGUAAUUGUACAGUGUAAUAAGAGGUAGUUCCUCUAGGAUAUUUCAUUUAGAUUUUGAUUCUUGUAAAUUACUUGUGCUCUUUUUGUUGGAAUAAAUUGCUUGUGUCAAAUGUGUUCAUUUGCUGCCCUCAAAAGCUACUUCUAGCCUAUGGCAUUUUUAAAUCGGUUGUAUUGAUUGAAGGUCAUUGUAAAGUGCCUAAAGUUUGUGGUAGAUAAAAGCAAAUGAACACAGUGACAGUAAUGUUAUAAAGCAAUAGUUCUGCUUUUACUUUAAAGAAAUUAGGCCAAUUAUAAAAAUCAUAAUGAAUUUGCAUGGAAAUAAAACUGCAGAAUUUAUUACCUAAUGUUUUGAAAAAGAUAGAUCUUUCUGGCUUUAUGGGGUUCAAAAGAGAAAGUCAGCCUCAAAACCUCUUACAGUGUUUAUCUAUGUUUGUUUGUCCAUGUGUCAAACAUUUGAUUUAGGUGUACUAAUGACAGAUGCCACUAGAAAAACAGAGUUUGAUAUUACUUAUACUAUUUUUCAGGCACUGAAAGCUGGAUCAUAAAUUCUCUGAGCCAAAGUUAGGUUCACCAACUACAUUAAUUGGAUGUACAUAUAUUGGCUGAAUGCUAUAUGCACCUGCUUUCUCCAUCAUGGGAAAGAAUUUUUUUGUCAUCCUCCCUUCCACGUGCAUUUCUACUUGAAGAUGGGAAGUGCUCAGUCAUAAUGUCUUUGUUUCGUAUACCUUUCCAGUAAGCUAGAAGGAAGAGCAUAUACAAUCAUGUGCACACAUAACACAGCAGCAGAAUUAUGCAGAGUUAAGUACUUUAAACAUUUGUGUUCCCACUUGCAAUAUGGUUCUACUGUAUUUUAGUGAAUGUAACCAAAUGCAAAGCAGAUUGUGCUUCCCAUCUUAGGAGUAACAUUUAGUUAGGAUUUAUAUAAGCAAAAAUAUCAAAGCCAUACCUGAGGAGGAUGGAUGGCAAACCACAAGGCUAGUUCAUAAAUUUACAUUAUUAAAGAGUAGUUAGAAAUCUGUGCUGCUGCUUUUGCUGAAGCUGAGAGCAGUUUGCAAGCAGAAAUAAUUCUUCUCACCUGCUCUUAACUGUAAAGCGUACAGUAGCAGUAUCACAUGACAUCCACAAAAAAGAAGGUCUUUUUUUUUGUUAUCUACUUUGACCUGGGAACAUUUUUUUCCUAAUCUAUGGCUCCCUGGGAAGCAGAAGCAGUAAGAUGUGACUUCAAGUGAGAGGAAAAAAAAAAAAUAGAGAUGUUCAGUAUGUCUCUAAGCAUAUGGGGUGGUUGGCUUUGGAAAUUCACUGGAACAAAAGCGUGGGAAAGAGGAAACUGAGAACUGGAGACAGUAAUAAAUAAGGGAGUUGUAUGCAAGGAUGAGAUGGUGAGAGUGGGAAACAAAUGUCAUUAAAUUGCUUAGUAAGAAAGGUUAGAAAUAUACAGGAGAAUAACAUACACAGAAUAUACAGCAUUGUUUAAAACAAACAAACAAACAAAACUAGGUCCUUACUUUAUAUCUACAAUGUAAAUAUACAUUCAUACAUUCAUAUGUUGCAAAUAUAGCAAAUCAUUUUCACAGUUACGUAUUCCAUUUUGCUUUGGUCUUCCAAUUUGUUAGCUUUUGGUUAGCUUGCUGGGUCUUUGCCUUAGGCAGUUGCCUUCAUGGAUGGCUAGAGAGCUUCUAGAGCACUCUCUGAAAUAUGAUCUGAAAUUACAGGUUCUCUCAGUAUUCUUCCUGCUAUUGUUAGCAAACACUUCCAGGAAAUCAAAACAAUAAUUCACAGGGGGAAAAAAAUGGAAGGUGACUAUGUCAUAAAAUAAUAAAAGGAGUAAAAUAUGGAUAUUGUUCCAGGUAAGAUUUGAGUCAAUGAAAACUUGACAAUUUAAGGAAGAUUCUUUGAAGAUAAUUCAUUUAAGCUAAGGUAAAAAGCAAAACAAGACAUUUUCCUGUAGAUUUUUAUUUAAUUUAAUUCAUCUUUACACCAUAACAUUUUGAAUGGUCACUGGAAAUCACAUAAGGAACAAAAGCAAACUGGCUGCUGUCUUCUCUGCACGGAGUGCAGGAGGCACUGUUAAGCUGAGAUUUUGUGUUUAUUGCUGACUAUUUUUAAUAUUUCUAUAAGCAACAGAAUUCUAGCAUUUCUGUUUUGUUGUUGUUAUUAUUGUUCUAAUGGGUAUUUCUUCUUCUGUGUAAGUAUAUAAUGAGCAACUGAGUCAAAAAAGAUGUUACUCAUAAUGGAGUACAGAUCCACUAACAGAGAAGUGAAAACAUUUACUUGGUUCUGAAACUCACUUUGUUUGACUGUAAAUGUACUCAGAAGGUCUGAAUUGUAAAUCUUCUGAUGGGAAAAUGUCAAGGUAAGUUUAAAUGAAUAAGAAUCAGAAAUAUGUGUCGUGAUACUGCAGAAAUCUGUCAUCAGAAUCACAACAGGCGUGAUUCUAAAUACUUAAAAUCUUAGAUUCUUUAUCACAUCCUACUGAUGAUUUUAAAGUGGAAAAAUUAAAUAACUGAAUAAAUAAAUAAAUAAGAAAACUCUUUCCAGUUAUCAGUCAAAGUGAGUGUAGGAUGAUGUGGUAAGGGAGAUAUCUGUGUAUACCAAAGCAUAUUAUUGAAUUGUAAAAGAGAUGAGUAUUACUGAUAAUAUCCACAGUCAGUCUUUACACGCAACUACGAGUACAACAAUAUAAAUGUAGCAUGCUUUAUUUAUUUUGGAAGCUAGCUGACACUUCUCCCUGAAGAAUGCCAUGUAGAAUCAAUUCCUCUUAUUGUCUAUGUUGUUUUCUGCUUCAGCCUUUUUGUCUCAAGGGCUGUUUUCAUGAAGAUGUUUCAGAGCUCAGUUAGCACUCGCUAUUAGCUUUCCACCUGAGUUUUUUGUCCUGUUCAGCUGACAUGCUGAAAGUAAGUUGUAAUUAUACUUAAAGAAAAUAUUUGGAGGUUUCGUAUCUUUGAUGCUUUAUUCAAUACAGUUGAAAAGUUGACUUGGGGGUGUGUACAUCAUUGUGUGUGCGUGCGUGCAAGCACGUGCUGUGUGCAAAAUUCUGGAGGUCUCUAUCUUCCCAUAAAUCUGCAAUAUUUUUGCAAUCCAGCACACUUAUUCAGUGCUUUUGUUUGGGGUUGUUGUUGUUGGUGGUGGUGGUGUUUUGGUUGUUUUUUUUUUUGUGAGGCUCUUGAGAAUGCUUUAAGUGUACAAGCUGACUAUUGCAAUAACGUUUGGUGAGAUUUAUGGAUGAUAUGUAAAGAAGUAUACAUUAGAACAUAAAAAUGGAGCAUACAUAAAGUAUACUUUUAUGCAGCAAAAAAAAAAAAUCACUUGAGAUUUGAGAGAUUUUGAAAUAAAUCAUUCAUGUUUUCUUUAACUUGUACAAAACAUACCAGGCCAUACUGUACUUUAACAGAAGAGCAGUAGAAGAGUAUCCCUACAAAGUGAUAAAAUUCGUCUUCUGUCUAUGUCAGUGGAAUUCAUAUUUACAAUUCAGACAUAGUCAUAAGAGAUACAUGUCUAGAUUCUUGUUCUAAUCAUUGAAGAGAUGCAGUCUUUUCUUUGAUAUGAAUCAUCCCAUCAUAAAGCAAAUGCUUAAAUUGCAUCAGAUGACUCAUGCCUUAAAGCUGCCUGUUUCUUUCUUCUGAGUUAAAGGGAUCCAAUCCUUAUUCAGGUACUGAGGUUGCUGUUGAGGAUAUUUAUGUUCCAUAAAAUGAACACCCUUCUAAAUCUGAACAUGACAUCGUGCAUGAGAAAAUAGAAUAGGAAUUAUUGACUAAAAAAACCUGCACACAAACAAAAGGAACACACACACAAAAAGGCAGUCGCAGUACAGAACAUGUUGCCCUAGAACCCUGUUUCUCCAUUGUGGAAACAUACUGGAAAGCUUUGGUAUGUUCUGAGAAUAUUAUUUUAGUUCACCGUUUUAUACUAACACUUUUUAUCAUUAAGAAUUACUGGAUAUUCCAGGCUGCUAAGUACGACUUUAUUCCUUAGGAAAGUCAUAUACCCGUUGGUUUUUGGUUUGUUUAGUUUUGUUCUUUCAGUCCUGCAGCUAUGUGUCACAUUUACUUCUAUGGUAAUUGUAUUACAAAACAAAACAAAUUUUGCUGUAUCUUUUAUAACAAAUGCUCUUAGGUACAUAUUGGAAGAGCAGCUUGAGUAAAAAGUAUUUCAUUUUUAGUUUCAAUUUAAUAAUGUGCCUUUUUGUGAAUAAUACUAGAAUUAUCCUCUAUAAAACAGAUUUUCAGGUCCCAUUUUUAAUACACACGUGCUCUAUCCUGAGAUUGUAUGUCAAAUUCUGUGUCUCUUAUUCAGGCAAGGUGUGUCCAAUUCAAGUAGCUCAGACCCUGGCAUCUGUUAUCCAGAAAACUUGUACAAACAUUUUUCUAGUGGUCUGUUAGAAAAUGCAUACAUAUGUGGCAUAGAAGGAAUGGCAUCUGAUUAUGCUCUGCUAAUACUGAAGAUGGAAGAGCCACACAAGCAGAGUAAUUGGGUCCCACUCAUAUUCCUGACAUUAGUUUAGAAUACCAAUAAGUUUGAAUACGGUUUGAAUAUAGGUUCUAGUAAGAUAUGCUAUCAAAACAUAUUGUAAAUUUCCAUUAAUAUUUCUGUGCAUCGUUUCAUACCAUUUUGCACAUAGCACCAGAAAGAUUGUAUCAUACGCUUCUGGGAAUUGAGAGAUAAAGGAAAGUACUUCUGUUUUGAAGAUAGCAGUAAAAGAAUUAAAUACUAUUAUAGAUACUUCUGCGGAGUCCAGAGGAGACAUGACAGAACUCUAUAUGAUGUGUGAAAGCAGAAAGGUAUCCGAAUAAUAUAUUAGACAAACAAGAAUCUAAAAACAUUAAAAAAGUAAAGGAAAAACGGUUUUGUGCAGUAAAGUAAUAGUCCUGCAGGGCAAGAAUAUGAGCCAGAAAUCAUAGGAGUCUCCCUAUCCCGAACUUCUGUGGUUCAGUAGUAAUACUAUAUUUUAAGUCUCCUGUAAAGCAGGAGAAGCAGCACGUUGCUGCUUCUAGCAUCAUAGAGUCGUUGUAAUAAGUGAAAGCUCCACUAGGUGGUCCUGGUGCUCUUCUAACAAGUAUCAAUGUUAGUGCACGGCAAUUUUACUUUUUUUAUUUUUUCCUUUUCUUUCUCCCCCCAUGUUGUUCUAUUAGCUAUUGUGAAUAUGUCAGAAAUUAAAUAUUCAGCUACAUGAAAAUGGCUAUCUUAAUAAUAUAUUUCUUGGUUAAGUAGAGAACACUCUUGGUCAAAGGUGUGACAGUUAUACAGUGAAAUUCCAUUGGUAAUUAUAGUUAGUAUUUAUCAGACAAACUGCUAGAGCUAGGAUUUACUUAAGACUUAAAGCUUUUCUUCUGUGAAUUGUACUGUAUAAUCACAGUAAACUUGUAAUUAGUUUCCUUUCAGUAAGGUAUCAUUAAUCCAGUAUAAUUUUAAAUGAGUAUCCUUAUUGCAUAUACAAUGCUGCUGUCAUUUAGCGUGGUGUGUGUCUGAAGAACCAAGAGCAACUCUACAAUCAUGGGAAUUUUCUUUUUUUUUAUGGGCCAUUGCUUAAGAUAAAGGGGUGGCUUAAACAGAUUUCUGCUCUAGAGCCCUGCUAUGGACUACAGAACUCAGUUUGCUUCAGCUGUGCUUGCAUUUUCCUAAUAAAAUAGCAAAUGUAUUUCAUGAAAGUGUUGAUGGGUGAUAUGUACAGAUUAUUAUGGAUAAUAUUACAGAAAAUACCACAGAAUCAAUAUGAUAAACAAGGUCUGCGCAUCAGAUGUCUGUUGGUGGAAGAUGGACUUGUAGGUAGCAAAUAUGAGCCAAUCAACAGCAGCCUUGAUGAUCCUUUAGAAAUCAUUGGCAGAACCAAUGAGAUCUACAGUACAACAUAAAUUCUCAUCAGUCAGAAAUGAGAGCUCAAAUCAUGUGCUACAGGUAAUCUCAAUUCAUUCAACACUAGCCUUCAACCUUAGAUAUUGACUGUCAACCUGAAAAUUAUAUUAUUGAACACUCAUCUUUAGAAAUUUUCCUUUUUUAAGUUUAUUUGUCUGUAAUUUUUGUUAUGCAGGCUAUAUCACAUUUAAUAAGAGUGAUAACUGUUCUUAGACAAACGCGGAGAAGCCAUAAAACUGAUAGGACAAAGUAGAUAUUUAAAAACAAUUUUAAGUUAAAAACAGUAGUUCUUUAGAAAAAGUCAAUAUUAGUACCUAACAACUACACUUUCCCUCUUCACAGUCCUCACCUAGUCCUUCUCAGAACAUUUUUUAAGAAGCCCUUGAAAAAAAUGUAGAUUCUCUUUUGCUUUAUUCUGUUUUCCCGCUGAAUGUGCUUUACCCUGAUAUUACUUAUUUUGUCUCAGUUGUGCUAAAACUCAUCUUGACUACUGUCUUGCUUAUAACAGUAUUUUAUAUGAAAUUCUAACUACUUGGAUCUCAACAGGGAGUUUUAAUUAAUGCCAAAAAUAUUCCGUUUUUGUCUUUCUUACAAUACUGUCACAUAAUCAGCAGAUGAAAGGUUUAAAUUUUAAUGUACACUCCAGUAUAGCCCUUUGAUUUGUGUUGUAAAUACCAUUCAGGCAGUCUGCUCUUACUGUUUUGCUGUAUUACUAUACAUGCCUUAAAAGAAAAAAGACUUUAAAAGUUGAUACAAAGAUUUGCCAAGAAUAAUCUAGCUAUUUGACUGUGAUACAUCUUUCAUCAUAAUCCUAUUUCUUUCCAGCAUUUUUUCUCUUUCUCAGGAGUCUCAUAUUGUGAUAUUCAGGUUUUUGGAUUGCUUUCUAAAUUUGACAUCAACUGUAAAUUAAAGCCGGCUACUUUUUCCAUUGCUCAUCUGUAGACAUUGCUACAUUAAUAUUGUAAACUCCUCAGAGCAAAGAUUGCUUUAUUCUCUGAGUGGCACUUGGUACAGUGGCUUUCUGAAUCAUAAUUGCUGUUCUUAUCCAUGCCAACAGAAGAAAAAAUGAGUAAUUUCUAUGUUUUUUUUUUGUUGGUGUUUUCAAUUUUAUUUCCAUUUGAUCAGGUAAAAAGCAGGUGAUCUGGAAUCCCUCUGCUUUCCUUCACCAACAGAUUUGCUACGACUGCCUGCCUUGCAGUGCACAGAUCCCACACACCUGCUUGCCCACUGAAAGUUAGUUCAUUCUUCACAACAGAAUUGUUGACAGCCACUGAAUCAAUCCUUUCAUAUUUCUUAGCUUGUGAAUAACUUUCAUCAGCAAUUCUUUGCAAGUCUUAUGGUAUUACAGAAAUUGCACUGGGGGUGUCUCACCCCUGGUUUACUGCAGAACUCCAACACUCCACCGUACCUUGUGGGAGCAUUAGUGGGGUGAAGAGGACGCCCUGUAGUUCGGCUGCAGAACCUUUCCUUGCUACUGACAAUGCCUGAGCCAGAAAUGAGUCAACUUUUCUUUAAUAUACCAACAGAACUUUCAAGCUAUCUGAUUUAAAUCUGAACUAAGCCAAUGUGUAACGCAUGCCGCAGAUCCAUGGCACGUAUACUGGAAUCACUUUGCAGAAGGCUGAAAGCAGUGCUUUAUCACUGGCAGUGUGGUGGAAAGAGUAGGUUUUUGAGAACAGAUAUACCAAGAGUCCAGAAGUGUCUGGGCUCUACAUAGGUCAGGCCUCCCUGGAGCUGUGGUGCUAAGGGCUCCCAUGGAUCUGUCAGGACAUGACCCAACAACCAGGGCCCAUGUAUACACAGAGCAUGGAGGUGAACACCUCAUCACAAGCUUAUGAAACUUAGUGAACAUAGUAACUCCUUUUCUGCUGCAGUUGUUAAGAACCUCCAGAACAUAAUAACCUGGUUGCUUAUAUAAUUGACAUUAUAUCAGUAAUUUUCCAUAUGCCAUUUUGUAUUUGUGAUUCCAGUCUAUUUAGAUAUUUCUGCCAGUUCAUAGAGUUGAAUGCAGUGACCUAUUUGCUUACGUCUCUUUUGACAAAAUUUGAGUAUAGUAGGCAUAAAUCUACUUUACUGGGGAUUGCUGAUGCACAGAUGUAGCAGGUAAUCAUUUUUUAUUGUGAAUCUCUUUAGAACAUAGUUAAUGUUACAGGUAUAUUUUGAACAUUUCUACUUGGUUCCUUUUGUCGGAUAUGUGACUUUUACCUUUGCAUGAGAGAAUCCAAGUCUUUCUUGCCAUAGAUAGCUUUUAGCUAUCUAUACACCUUAUUUAUAGCAAAGACAUUCCGUAGAUAUAUUCAAAUGGGAAAUGAGGAAAAUUGUGUGGAACAACUUCUGCACUGCAUAAACAUCAUUUUAACUUAACACAGACUCUUGAUAAACAAUAUUACAGUAUUUAAAGACAUACUGCAGCACUGUUGAUUUACUGUGUGAUGAUGCUAUUGACCUGUUCAAAGGCUACCAUAAAAUGGGUAAUAAAAGUUGCACAAAGUAUGUAUCCAAAUUCUGUGUAACUGAGCUCUGUCCCAGCAAAAAAAUUACCUUGUUACCUCUCAGUUGUGAUCUCUAUUGUAGUGGUCAGGGAUGAGAGCAAUAUGUGCAUCACAGCAGUGAUAGAGUGUUGAGUAAUAUGCCAGAAAACUGAUGUUUUUCAGGUGGCGAACUUAAAUAGCAUAAGGUAAGUACUAAUCAAGUUGCAUGAGGGACGCUCUGAAAGUAAUGUUUCCCAUCUUAUUAUGUUAGCCUGUGACAUCAGAGGCAGAUGGUGGCAGUAAGGCUGUAGAGGUUGAACCUUCCUGACAGUAUUCCAUUAUGUUUUGUUGCUGUGCGAGAGAUGGCAGCAGAGGGGCAGUCUGACAAAACAGUGUCUGACAUAGAAGUGUGUAUGAAGCAAAAGUGUGUCGCUGAAUUCCUUUGUGUGGAAAAAUUUGCACCCACUGACAUUCACUGAUACUUGCUAAACACUUAUGGAGACCAAACAGUGCAUGUGAGCACAGUGAGGCCACGGGUGAUGUGUUUCAGCAGUGAUGACAGCGACUUGAAGGACAAGCCAUAUUUUGGACAGCCAUGCACAUCUUUAACGCCACAAAAUGAAGACCAUCUUAAUUAGUUUACUUAUAUGAAUCAGUAGAUUAUGACCAGGGAAGUGUGCCAGAGCUGAAAAUCUUCAGUAUGUUAGAAACAACGGUGGCAAUGUUGGAAUAUCACACAGUUUGCACCAGGUGAGUCCCACAAAGGCUCACAGAGUAACUGAAAGAACACCAUACACAAGUUUCUCAGGACAUAUUGAAUCAAUAUGAGGCUGAAGGUGAAUUUCCUGGAUUGCACUAUUAUCAGUGUUGAGUCGUGGUGUCACUAUUACAAGCUGGAGUCAAAACAGCAGACCAUGGAAUGGCAACAUGUGAAUUCUCCAUUGAAGAAAAGGUUCAACACACAGCCUCCAGCAAGUAAAGUUAUGUGAGCUGUCUUUUGUGUUAGAACAGGAGAGAUCCUCCUGGAUUUUCUGGGACUUGGACAAACCAUCAGCAAUGCCUACCAAACUGAAGUCAGGCUUGAGAAGUCUUUUUGAAACGUGAAAAAGCCAGACCCCACACCAGUUUGAAGACCAUGGAGCACACUGCUAAUCUAGGCUGAACUGCCCAGCCACACCCAUUUCUUAAUCCUUAUUUGGUGCCUUCUGAAUUCCAUCUGUUCUGACUGAUGAAAGAUGGACUGUGUGAGUGACAUUUUCCUGGCAAUGACACCAUCAUAGCAGCUGUGAAACAGUGGGUCACAUCCCCUGGUGCAAAUUUUUGCAAUUUCAGCAUACAGGCUCUUCUUCAUAACUGGCAAAAAGCAUAGAAUCAUAGAAUCAUUAAGGCUGGAAAAAACUAAGAUCAUCUAGUCCAACCAUCAACCCCACCAUGUCUACAAACCAUGUUCUUCAGUGCCACGUCCACACAGUUCUUGAACACCUCUAGGGAAGGUCACUCCACCACCACCCUGGGCAACCUGUUCCAAUACAUCACCACUCUUUCAGAUGAUAAAUUCUUCCUGAUAUCAAACCUGGACCUCCCCAGUGCAACUUAAAGCCAUUACCUCUUGUUCUUAUGCUAGUUAGAUUGGAAAAGAGGGUAACUCCCAAAUGCAUAGCUAACAGUGGUGACUAUGUUGAAAAAUAGUGUUUUGUAGCAGAGAAUUUGCUCUAUCAAAUAGUGUUCUUAAAAUAAAUAGGAGGCAUUACUUUCAGAGAAACCUGCAUCUAUUAUUUUAAGGGAGAUUUAGAGAAUGCUAGAAAUAAAGAGACUGAGUUAGAUUGCUAACUAACCAUCAUUAGGGACAGUCCUUUGAAAUGAAGUGAUAUGAUUUGACUCUCACCUGUUCAUCCAGAAUUUCAUCCUAGAAAAGCAGAUGUUGAAACAAGAACGGUCCCUGGCCCUGUGAACCGUGCCUCUGAGGGUGCUAAUUGCCCAUCUCAAGGAGAAGGCUGUUAGUUAAUCAGUGUGGAAUAUCAGCAGUGUGGUGCCUGGGCUUAUUCCCUGGCUGUUUCACUGAGCAUGUUAGCCAUAAACAGAGGUAUCCUUUCUGGAGUGAGCAGCUUUUCUCCACAGGCUCCAAGCACUCUAAUGGGCAUUACUGUUUGAUCCAAAAGCUGGUUGUGAUGUAGUUUCACUCAGCGGGUUGGUUGUCUGCUCCUCUCUCUUUGCUUCAUAAUGCAAGUUGAUGGGAGCACUGGCGAAACUUGAUGUCUGGUUUGGCAUGCAAAAGAAGAGCUUAUGCCUCAUUCUCUUUCAAGUGGUCUUACUGCAUUUUUGUUAGGAAAACUUCUGAGCAAACUAGCCAAGUAAUCUGGUUUUGUACGUACAAAAUAAAAUACUCUGACCCACAGUUUCAAAUCACAUUUGACAGAAAUAAAUAAAUAAAUGAGUAUUUGAAUUUAUAUACAACAACCUAUCAAUUUUAGAUUUCUGAUCUUUUUCUCUUGGGUGCAAUGGGUGAAUUAGAUUUGAAGCAGUCUGUAUUUGUUUUUAUGAGAUCUAUAAUUCUUUCUUUCCCUGCUGCACAAAAAGGACUCUUUUCCCAGAAGUGCUUGGAGAGAAACACCAAAAAAUAUGAAGCUGUAGCCUCAGCCUUUAGUUUUUGUUCAUAUUCUGCCUCAGUUCACUCUCCUGUGCUGCAGCAGUAGGUAAGUAAAGAUAUGACUCUUUUCCCAUCUGGAUAGCAACAGGAGAUUACUGAGCCAGGAGGAGGCGGGUGCUUACUACAUGUGGUGUAGUGCACUCUUUACUUAGUUGGGUUGUGCCACCUGUAAUAUCAGUAUUCAUAGUAUUCAUUGUUUCCCUUGGACUACAAGACUUCUGUACAUGUCAGUAGUGAGUAUGUAGGGUUGUUUUAUGAAAAUCCUCAAUCAGAAAAUGCACUGCGUUUAGCAUCUCAGAGAAACAUUAAGAAACACUCAAAGUUUCUAAUUCUGACUAUUCCAAAGCAUUCAGCAGCUAUCACUUGGAUGUUAGUCACAACGAAGAUGAAUGAAACCAAAUGCUAAGUCCUGUCUGUCUCAGUUUGGAGAAAUGAAUCUCUGCAGUAGGGUGAUACAUCUACCUCAUCCCAAGUGUGUUUUUUUCUUAAGAGAUUGUGUAGUUUCUUGCAUUUGCAGAGUCUACCAUGUUAUUGAACACCAUCAAAGAAUGCUCCGAAGUAUUAUGAAGGGAGGGCAGGUAUUACAGAAAGCAUUCAAAAAGUGAUCAAGAAAAAGAGAACACCUGUUCUGGAAGGGAAAGCAUCUCUCUGGACCUGCAUGAAAGCUCACUGUAAGAAGUGAGGAAACAGAGGGCUAUCAAAAGUAAUGAAGCCACCAGAAAAGAUGUUGCAGUUCGAAGUGAGAAGAUACUGCAUAUGGUCUCACAACAACAGAAGGAAGCCAAAGGACAGGUCAGCUGUACAACAACUCUGAACUUAUGGAAGAAUAGAAGAUCAAAGGAUGAUGUCUUCCCCCCUUUGUGCAAGGUGUCAUGAAGGUAGCAAAAUUCCAAGAGUACAAGUAAGGGGAAGAUAAUAAGCAAGAGCAGGAUAUGAACCCCUUUAACUUUCCAUGGAGAUGCUAUGCUCUGCAUUUUAAAAAACAACAACUGAAAAACAGCAGCAAAAAGGAAAAGUGUAGAAGAAAGCUAGUUAAAAAGAUAAAAUAAUCUCCUGGACCAAUUGUCUGAAGAAUGAAGACACUUUGCUGCAUUCAUAGCCAAGCUAUCGCUAUGCUUGUAGUGUCAGUGUCCCCUGUCAGGUGUGCUAUACAUCAAAACUGAAUUAGCAGGAAAGAAGUACACUUCUGUCUCCUAGAAAAGUAGAAUAAAAGCAAAAGCUGGAAAAAAAAAUAUUUAAGUGCCUGUUGUCCAGUAGGAUAUGCAAAAAUGACAUGCAUAACAACCCCUUCUGCAACAUGCAAAACUCCAAGAGUACUCCUGGUUCUGCUCUUUGAGACAAAAGCUCUGAAAACCUCCUUGUGUACCUUUGGAAGGCAGUCUUUCAAGUCCCCAUACCACCUUCCCUGUUGGCUUUUCUUAUUAAAACAAAAAUAUAAGCAACAAACUUCUUUCUUCCCUGCUGUCGUUCAAACAGAAGUGUCUCUAUUCUAAGACACCUUAAUAUACCUAGUUGCCUUAAUAUACUGAGUUAUUUUAUAUAUCCUAAAGAAUGGUACCCAUUUUUUGUCUCCUCACUCUGCAGUGUUAUCUGACUUCCUGUUUGUCAUGUAUCCAGUCUACUGCAGUGGCCUUUGUUUUAGGAAUAGAAGUCUUUCAGGAUAUCCUAUACUUCCAGUUCUUAUUAACCUCAUUUAGCUUGGAACAAGCCUGUGCUUGCUUAGUUAUGACAUAAGAACUGUAACAGAACAUGAAAAGGGAAGCACAGCUUUGCUGUCAGUGAGAAAAACCUACAAUUUUUCUUCUGAAACUAUUCCCGUAUUUAUUUCUAUGGGCUGCUUUCUUGCCUUUCACAUUAUCGUUCCAUCUUCCUUUGGAGAAGUAGAUGUGAAUGAGUGAAAGUCAUCUACUGGCAAAUGUUCAUGUUGUGGUUUAUGUGCAAUGGUGAAUCAUGAGACUGAGUUAUAGGGCAGCAAUGAAUUACAGGAGUCCUGAGAGUUUUCAAAUUUUGCAAAAACCAUAAUCAAUUUUAACACCAAAAUUUGAUCAGUUAAUAAGUAUCAUCCUUGGAGUGCAUAGCACUGGACUCUCCGUUUCUCUCACUUGCUCUCUCCACUCCAAAAGUGUUCCAUCUAUAUGAGAUACCUGAAACCAUGUCUAUUCUUCUUCCUGCAUUGCUGUCUUUCAGGCCAUCCUUAGAGUCAUCUGCUUGAAUUAUGGACGUGAAUUUUAAAAUUGCAAGCACUGAAGUAAAAAUUACUCAAAUAAAUUGAUUUUAAUACAUACUAUUCCAGUUUUACCACCUUGCAACUGUAUAUAAGAAGCCUCUGUAGACCUGAGAGAGAGCUGACUUCUCACAUUUUCUUGGGUAGAGGCAGAAAACGUUAAAAAGCCUGAGAGCAUGCUGUCAUUCCCAAAGUUCAAACUGACAUCCUGGCUUCCUCUGGAGCAUACCUUUAGUAGAUUUGUUUUGGAGGCAAUUCACAGCUCUGUCUCAAAGCCACAUUAGCCAUUCAUUUUUUAUAAGGUAUGGAAACACUAUCAAGUUUCCAAAUUAACUGUUUCUUUUCUCACUCAGGUUUCUUUCUGUCUACAGCAAGCAAUCAGUUGUAGUAGGGGUUAAGUGAUCCAUGCCCAGAUGGCUUCACUGACUGCAGGUAUAGAGCCUGAAAGAUGGAGUUACAUACAUCUACUUGGGCUUGGGUUUCAGUUUGGAUACAGCUAGCAUAAUUUACCUUAAUGCCAAGUUAACAGUUUUAAAGGUUGCAAGUAAUUUUUCUGUACAUUGUGAAAUUGUACAAAUUGUUUAUUUUGCUGCUUCAUGAUCUGUUUGCAUAGAGAUCCAUGACUCUAAUGUUUAUCCAUAUACAUAGUGCAUAUUGAUUAUGUGCUGAUAAUAAUUCACUCUGUCAUUUAUUUAUUUAUUUCCAAAUGAAAGUAAUGGAAAGCUAAAAGCAAAACAUUCCUCCAAUAAACUUGUUGGCACAAAGCUUGUUUUCUUCUGCUUGUACUGCAUGUCACAGAGCAUUAUUACAGUGGUUGUAACAAAGCUGAGCUCUUUCAAAAAUUAUAAUAAAAAUGGUAAACAAUGUAAAAACAAA